GAUGAACGCUGGCGGCGUGCCUAAUACAUGCAAGUCGAGCGAACGGACGAGAAGCUUGCUUUUCUGAUGUUAGCGGCGGACGGGUGAGUAACACAUGGAUAACCUACCUAUAAGACUGGGAUAACUUCGGGAAACCGGAGCUAAUACCGGAUAAUAUUUUGAACCGCAUGGUUCAAAAGUGAAAGACGGUCUUGCUGUCACUUAUAGAUGGAUCCGCGCUGCAUUAGCUAGUUGGUAAGGUAACGGCUUACCAAGGCAACGAUGCAUAGCCGACCUGAGAGGGUGAUCGGCCACACUGGAACUGAGACACGGUCCAGACUCCUACGGGAGGCAGCAGUAGGGAAUCUUCCGCAAUGGGCGAAAGCCUGACGAAGCAACGCCGCGUGAGUGAUGAAGGUCUUCGGAUCGUAAAACUCUGUUAUUAGGGAAGAACAUAUGUGUAAGUAACUGUGCACAUCUUGACGGUACCUAAUCAGAAAGCCACGGCUAACUACGUG
RNAcentral lists this ribosomal RNA (497 nucleotides) under uncultured bacterium. RNAcentral describes it as "partial 16S ribosomal RNA". It matches the Rfam family "Bacterial small subunit ribosomal RNA", at positions 28 to 507 of the family's 1533-position model. The record is from RNAcentral.